UUAUUAAAUCGUGUUUCCAAGGGUGACUACUCUCGGCACCUCUACUGUAGAUAAUAAUAGCGAACGAGUAAACUGCGUAUCGCAGUGGAUGUCGGGUCGGGGCCGUCUAGUGCACGUGUAAUUAUGCUAAAAUACGUGAUAACACUGAUAGUAAUAUAGACAACUCAUAAUAUACAUACAGUUAGGAGCAAAACAGGGCCAAGACAGUAACUACUUAAGUAGAAAUAUAAUAAUAAACAGUGAAAGAUUUUAGAACCUAAACGUACUUUAAGAAUAAGCUUUCAUAUUAAAGAGAACUGAACAUACAGGUCAAUUUACAAGAGCUGGUACGAAUGGAAUGAAUGAGUUGAAAAUAUCUACGUGUGUAUCACAUUAAAUUUAACCAAUAAAAUGGUGGCUCUGACAGUAAAUACCGAUACAGGUGUCACUCAUACAAUGAAAGUUUCGUUCAUUUGUUCAUUUUAUUCGUGCCAGCUUUCGUGAAACAACCUGUACAUUUAUCCAAUUUCAGUAAGUCAUUGGUUUACUUUUACACCCAAAAGUAUUCGAAAAAUAUCACGUACACAAUUAGUAUCAAUACAGUAAAGAGAAAUUAUCUGUUUGUGCAUGGGAUGAGAGAUGAUAACAUUGAUAACUACGUUUUAAAUAUGUUUUCUUACAUUAAAUUAACAUUAAUUGUACAUAAAAGAACAUUUAUAAAAUUAUAUAGACAAUAUACUUAUGUUUAAAGCAUUGUGCGUAUUAAUAUUAUAAAAAUAAUUCGGAUUUCUUAUUAACAAAAAUAAAACAUUCUAGAAUUACUUCAAUUCGUAUGGCACGGCCGGGAUUUUCUGUUUUUAACAUAGAGAGUGAAUAACAUAUGUUCAUUUAUAAAUCUCAUCAGCUCAUUCCACAGAAAAAUAACGUGAUUACGACAUUUACGACUACUUAACUAAAACAUUUUAUAGAAAAAGUUCCCUGGGUUCAUGAACAUACCUACAUCGUUUUCAAAAACUUAUUAUGGCCACAAAUAAUUUAAAAACAUACAAAGGAGACUAACAUGGCUUACCUACAUGCAUUAUUGUGUUAACUAACGGUUUCUCGCGUCAUCGUCUACAAAUCCGCUAACUACAUAGAAUGCGCGUCAGUUUUUUGGGUAAAAUUUAACAUCAAAAAAUUGUGAUGGUCGCAUUAAUAUAUAAUUCUCCUGGCAAAUAUCCGACUCAUUGAAUUCGUUUCUAUGAUUCAGCACGAAAUAAUUGCAAUAAAAAUAAGUAAAGAAUGGCACGUAAACUAGUGAACGAUUUUAAGGUAAAUGCAAUUCAAUAUGAGCCUCUUCAUAUUGAGACCUGAGUGACACCCCUGGUUACAUAGUAUUAACAAUACCAAAGAGAGAUAGAACUAUUAAUAUUACACAGAUUAUUAAGGCGCAUUUACAGAUACAUACGUUUAAGAUUAUUUAUCAAACAUCUCUACACUUAUAUACUAAGGACCUUUAAAGCAGUGCAAUGCUUCACAAUAAUAAGCUGUAAUUAUGAUAAAUUCAGAAGCAUUACUUAUAAGUUAUAAAUGUCAUAACAAUAAUAAUUGAAAUGCCCCAUCAAAUUUAUAAAAUAAUGUCAGAUCAAAAUGAUAAUUCUAAGUUAAUGUAAUAAUAGAUUAUUUAGUUAGCCAGGCAGAUUCCGUGUUCCAUGUGUAGAUAGGUAAAUAGGUGCAAGUACCUAGAGACCUGAUCCCAGCGAUCCCAUUGUCGGAAACACAGAUAAUAUACACUAACAAUGACAGUCUUUACGAAAUGUUAUUUUUAAACAUCUCCCGGAAUGAUGCCAGUCUCUCCACUUUUGCGGUCCAGACCGAGAAAAACGAGUCGUCAAUGCCUAUGCCGCUCCAGAGGGGCUACCGCGAAAACCGAAAUUCGCGAAUUGCGGGGAUCUUUCUCUUUUACUCCAAUGAAGGCGUAAUAAGAGUGACAGAGAAAGCGGUUAUAGCCCUUUUAUUUCUCGUCAAUAAUGUCACCCGCAGCAUUUACCUUCAUCACAGCGAUAGUAUGCUAUAAAAUGUUGAUCACUAUACAGAUAGAUAGUAGAUACGCCAUAAAUGUUGAUCACUAUACAGUUACUUAUAUGUAUAGGUCACUCAACAAGAGAACCUACACAUUAAGUCUCAUUUUAGGGUUAGAUAGAUCUAGUAAGGCUAAGUUUCAACAGCGCAAUAACAAGCAUUACGAUCAACCAAUUGGAACCCUAGGCCAGCAUAGAAUCAUAUGAAACGAACGUAAAAAAACUUACAAGAAACCAGUUUCUAUGUUGACUUUAAAACAUAUCUACGGUGGUCUGGGUUCAUUUGGUAAGGUACUGAUCCUACAGGUAACACUUUCGUUCAACAUACUGUGUACACAGUUAAUACAAUUAUGUCACGCCGUCGUUACUUUUCUUGCAUCGUUGCCUACAUUCCAAGCCUACAAUCAUUUGACGGGCUGCGUCGUAGAAUAAUCAUGAUUAUGGCACUGGUCCCACCGCGAGCUAGUAAGCUUAUGAGCUAUCGGCUAUAAACACGAACAAAAGAUAAGCACUCCCGUGUAAAUAAAAAUGACACGGCGAUAUUUAUAGCUCACUGCUGGGCGAGUAACUAUAAAUAUCGCCGUGUCUUUUUUAUUUACACGGGAGUGCUUAUCUUUUGUUCGUGUUUAUAGCCGAUAGCUCAUAGCUUACUAGCUCGCGGUGGGACCAGGGCCUAUAGUGGAAACAUACAUGUUGCAUUGUAAAUCUUCCGGUGGCACAAAUCGACGAAAUCGCAUGACACACUUUUGUUAUAUAAUAAGAUAUUUUAAGUAAAUAUCGACACUGACACAUUGACAGGUUUUUAAGUGUGUUGCUGUCGAUAUCCUCGUCAAAACUCGUUUGGUUUACCUACUCAUAAGAGAACCGAAACGAAUUAUGUUUUUUACUGUUAAAUCUUUUUCCGUGUGAGCCAUUAAUUUCAAUUUGAAUUUACGAUCCUGUCUUUUUAAAUUUAUGUAAGGUGCAAUAGAUAUUACAUAUGUUGCUGACACUGUCACUUUCAUUUCUAUAAAUAUGCAAAUAUUAUAAUAUCAUGUUACUUAUAAUACAUAUGAGUGAAUCAAAUAUUUCUUGUUAUUCUGUCACGUCAGCCAGGCGACUAUAGUAGCAUUAGUUUGUUAAAAGAACUAUUGUACCAUGUUCUAUUGUAGUGCUUGGUCGAUUUCGAAUUGUGGAAAGGGAUUAUAUAUAACUACCACAAAUAUGCAUGUUUGGUUAAUUUAAAUGCCAUAAAACUUUAAUUUAAAGAGUGACCCAGGUGACCGUAACUAUGGCAACGAGUAACAAGAAAAAGUUGAUUCACCUUACGCAAUUUAUGCAAUAUACAUACCUUGAUAUAGAUAUAAUAAUAAUUACUUGAAAUUAAAUUGCGCGGGAAUUUAAAGCACGGACGGAAGAUUUUAUUUUGUGGACGCUACACGGAAACGAAAUACAUAUAACGGUACCUAAGGUGCAUUGGGGUUAUUCGUGACUGGACUCGAACUAUAGUUCUCACGACUUGUGUUUUUUUUUUCAUGAAACUGAUGCCAUUAUUAUUGCUUUAUUCAACAACGACAACGUCAACAGUCAACACGGACGGAAGACGGUCAGUCAACGUUUAGUUUAACAGUAGAUAUCAAUGCAUUGAGAAAACACUUGUGUUUACAAAUACAUCUAGGUAUUUUCUGUUUUAAUAAGAAAAUUAAAUAUUUUAGAAAAUUUCGGAGUUAACUGAAUAACCUUUGCACUGAAUACUUAACCCCAAUGCAUCUAAACUUACUAACAAAAUUAUAUAAUGUCGUUUUUAUAAUAAAUCGAAUUUGUAAACUGAAUA
This is a long non-coding RNA of Cydia fagiglandana, 3852 nucleotides long. RefSeq lists it as uncharacterized. The record is from RefSeq and is a predicted model, not a curated record. Lineage: Eukaryota; Metazoa; Arthropoda; Insecta; Lepidoptera; Tortricidae. The transcript is spliced from 2 exons.